AAAUAUGCUUUUCAAUAACACCUUUUCCACGUCAUAAAUAAAAAACAAGCAUAGUUGAUUAAAAAUAAUGACGCUUAAACCGCGACGGCCUCAGAAGGCUUGGUGGGGCGUUGCUCUGAUUCUAGUUUUGGUGGGUUCAACAUAUAAAGCACGAACGUGGAUGCAGACUGGCAAGGGAGUCUGUGUAAAAUGGUGAUAAUCAAUCGAAUCCUAGCUAGGGCGUGGUUGAAGGAGAUGAUUUAGGCAAGCCCGACGAAUAUAGAUAGAUAUGAGAGAAUCGAUUGGAUGAGACGAUGGGAGGUAUUCAUGUUAUAAACAAUCUUUCUUAUUCGUGAAAAAGAAAACUUGGGGUUUCUGUUAUUUAAAAAAGGUACUCAUGUAAUAAGCAUUGAGGUUUUGGUUUUUGUUUGAAAUUAGUGUGGCUGGAGUGGUACGUACACUGUGUCAUAAUAUGAAUGGAGAAAAUUUUAUUUUUCAAGUGUUCUUCUACUUGUAUAAUGAAUCAGUGAUAUGUAGUGUACUACCCUAUAUUUCCAACACAUUGAAAAAUCUCUCGUUAAUUGCAGUAACAAAAUCUAUCUAUUUGGAUUUAAUCACAAUUGCCAUGCUACCAGAGCCAUGAAAUUUUGGUGUAAUAGUUGGGGGUUAUCUUAUUCAAAACUUAAUAGCGGCAGAGCCAGAGAACAAAUUAGAUAUAGACAAUUAAACCAUAGCAGGGAUUUGAAACUGAAUCAAGAGGAAGUUUCUAUCCUAGGAUGAUAGAGUAAAAAGACUUAACAAGAGUGAAGUCGAUAAGCAGGAAAGAAAUGGAGGUCUUUCUCCCAUGCACGUUUUGACCUCUUGUUUGCACUUUACAGGUUUUUUCUUCCAGCUUUUUUUUUCCUUUCCUUUUUUUAGUUCUAUUUUAUAAAAUCCACAUCAGCAUCCAUGUAAUUUAAUCAUUUUUUGAGAGCAUUUUUUGCUCACCAUCAUAACUAUAGCCUAUGCUUACCAUACACCUUUUACAUUAGACAAUUUUCAAAGGAGAUGUCAAAUUUUAAACACAAUUUAAAUUUGAAGGCUUAUGUGGCACAUUAAUCUUUUGGUAAAUUUUGUUCUCCACCCAAUAUGUCAGAUUUAAACUAUUAUAACAAAAAUUGUAAAAAACAUUUAUUACUCACUAAAAAUAGAUUUGAAACAGCUAUCAGCAACUCCCUCUGCUAUUAUUUCAUGCCAUGUCAUAUAUAAUUGAUAUUUCAGUUGAAAAACACUAAUACUGUCUUUUUUUACCGUUAUUACUAAUAUAGACUUUUUAACUUCUCCUUUAAAUUUCAGUUGGAAAUCAUUUAUCUUUUUUUACUACAUUCCAUUAAAGAUAAAUGUCCAUCACACACCCUAAUGUUAAAUGAUGAAUGUUAAAACCCUAGUGCUGCCUUUUUACACACCUUAAAGAUAAAUUUAACUCAACAACGCAAUCUUAAUAUUUGUAUCCCAGAUUCUCUACCGUCUCAUAUAUCUUCCCCCCUCCUCCCAUCUCUUUCCUCUCUCGUUUUUUCCCCUUCUCUGUCAUUGGAGCAAAUAUCACAAAUCAAAAAUCUCAAACUGGUGAAGUGUUAUUGAAUCCAGAAAUUUAUGUUCCAUUCAGGAGAUCCAAAUUACAAUAUUGAUUCCAAUUGCGAUUUGAGAUUGAAUCUCCGGUUUGGUUAAGUAACAGAGAAAGGGGAAAAACAUAAGGGGACAGAGCGAGAGGGUGAGGGUUUUUGCUUAUCAACAAAUUUGCAGAAAACAAUAAAAAAAUGUGAGAGACUCCGGGAAGACGAAACGAUGCCGUGCCAAAAAUUGUGCGAUUACUGCGUUCCAUACAUAACUAAUUAGCCAACAGACAAAAUACAAAUUAUAUAAUACAGACAAUCACAAACCCUUCUGUAAUUUAUAAAUUAUAAGUAAACAAGUCAAUUACUGAAAACAUGAAUAAAAUCAUCACAAAUAAACCCAUUUCUUCAAAUGCUUAAUAUCAUCAAAAGAAAAAAAGUAUUCGAGAAACCCAAUUGGGAACACCACAAAAAUGACAUCAGUAUCACCGUAAUUAAGGAAUGGAGGGUUCGGAGGUGGACUCGGCGUCCAUGGCCCGGACGAUUUGAAUUAAAAGAUGGAGGAAUGGAGGGUGGUGGCCUCGGGGCGUGGAUGUUUGUUGCCGUUGUCGCGGUUGUGGUGGUGGCCGUUGGAUCGAAAAGAGAAGAAGAGGAGGACGAGGUG
RNAcentral lists this long non-coding RNA (2235 nucleotides) under Malus domestica (apple). RNAcentral's name for it is "long non-coding RNA (MDOM_LNC009778)". Lineage: Eukaryota; Viridiplantae; Streptophyta; Magnoliopsida; Rosales; Rosaceae. The record is from RNAcentral.